This 348-nucleotide transfer-messenger RNA is filed under the name Spirochaetota bacterium. It matches the Rfam family "transfer-messenger RNA". Rfam says of the family: Bacterial tmRNA, also known as 10Sa RNA or SsrA, is named for its dual tRNA and mRNA-like properties. The record is from RNAcentral. Lineage: Bacteria; Pseudomonadati; Spirochaetota.
GGGGAUGAAUUGGUUUCGACUGCAGCUAUUAGUCAGCAGUGGCACGCCGAUUGACCUGGCGUAUCGUAAAAACGGCGGGAUUAAAUUAAACGCAAACGAAAAUUUUGCACUCGCUGCGUAAGCAGUGACGUUUUGGGGUCCUUCGCCCUCAGGGGAUUUCAAGGCGUAAACUAUGAGGGAGCAGCUGACCGUGAAGCUUCGGCGCGGAAGGUGGAAAUUCAGAAGACAGGCUUUGAGUAGGGUUGUUCAUUCUCCGGCGAUAAGCUUAAAUUAAAUGAAUGAAACAAGCGUGUAGAAGUUGUUGGUUCAUACUGUAGGACGUGGGUUCAAAUCCCACCAUCUCCAAAA